Molecule: ribosomal RNA, 442 nt
Filed under: uncultured bacterium
Lineage: Bacteria
Description: partial 16S ribosomal RNA
Rfam family: Bacterial small subunit ribosomal RNA
Source: RNAcentral
CCUACGGGGGGCAGCAGUAGGGAAUCUUUCACAAUGGGCGAAAGCCUGAUGGAGCAACGCCGCGUGCAGGAUGAAGGCCUUCGGGUUGUAAACUGCUUUUAUAAGCGAGAAAUAUGAUGGUAACUUAUGAAUAAGGAUCGGCUAACUACGUGCCAGCAGCCGCGGUCAUACGUAGGAUCCGAGCAUUAUCCGGAGUGACUGGGUGUAAAGAGUUGCGUAGGUGGCAUAAUAAGUAGCUAGUGAAAUCUGGUGGCUCAACCAUUCAGACUAUUAGCUAAACUGUUAAGCUCGAGACCGUUAGGGGUAACUGGAAUUUCUAGUGUAGGAGUGAAAUCCGUAGAUAUUAGAAGGAACACCAAUAGCGUAGGCAGGUUGCUGGGACGGUUCUGACACUAAGGCACGAAAGCGUAGGGAGCAAAAGGGAUUAGAUACCCCAGUAGUC